Molecule: transfer RNA, 74 nt
Filed under: Bacteroidia bacterium
Lineage: Bacteria; Pseudomonadati; Bacteroidota; Bacteroidia
Description: tRNA-Ile
Rfam family: tRNA
About the family: Transfer RNA (tRNA) molecules are approximately 80 nucleotides in length. Their secondary structure includes four short double-helical elements and three loops (D, anti-codon, and T loops).
Source: RNAcentral
GGUCCCAUAGCUCAGGUGGUUAGAGCAACUGACUCAUAAUCAGUAGGUCCAAGGUUCGAGUCCUUGUGGGACCA